AGUAUCGGUUUUUGUUUGUGACUGUUAGCUGUAGCUAAAUACUCUGAUUUGUAUGAUGAGAACUUAGUUAUAACAGAAAUUAUUUUCUUUAUUUUCUAGAGUUGCUUCGUGUAAUUACACAGCCUAAUUUCGUGGACCUGACUCAGGACGAGGGUGAAAGUGAUGACUGUGCUGGUCCUAGCAAUUGUAGCAAUAGCAGAAACCCAUCACACAGCCCCUUUGAGAAAGAAAAGGACGGAUGUAUCAUUCCGACCAACAUAGAGAGCAAAUUCACACACAGAUAGCUCGGCAGAGUCUGUCAAAUCCGCUGAUGAUGCUGAGCCCGAGAUAGAUCAAGACGCUGUAUCCAAUGGUGUGGACAAUGCCGCUAACUGGACUGAUACUCAAAUAAAUGACUGGCAAAACGCUGAUUGGUCGAGUGUACGCAGCGAGGAUUCGACACAGAUGGGUAGGCAGAGUCCGUGUCCGGGGAGGAGCCAGGAUUAAGGUCUGAGUUUCGAAGUAAUGAUGCUCGGAAUGAUUCUGUAAAUGAGAGAAUUGCAACUUUGUUCGAAGAGUUGAUUAAAAGACAUGACUCUAUGUACAAUGAGAUUCUUAAUAGACAGGAGGCCUUCUUCACUGAAAUAAAUAGCAACGUGGACGCCAGACUUCGUUACCUUCAAGACAAUCUACAGCAGUCUAUAGAGAUUUGUCUGGAGCGGUUGCAAGAGCAAAUGUCUGAAAAUUACUCUUCGGUACAAGAGGUAUUACAAUCGAGGGCUAAGAGAGAGAACGCUGAUCGUAUAGUUGCUGUGUGCAAUUAAUGGAUGUCUUCAACAUCGAUAGACAAUGAUUUUGUAAUUUUCUAUAUUAAUACUGAUCUGUUUGUGUGUGCUGUACCUACCUACACUCUGUUGUAUGCUAUAUACUUUUAAUGUAUCGCGAUUUAUUUUAUAUUAUCAUUUAUAUGUAAUCUUUUUGCUGGUAUUUAAUUGUACUCUUUUUUUUUUUAAGAGAUCAUUUUGAUUUGUAGUUUUUAAGCGACCAUCUUCAAAUGUAGCAUUCUCCUAUACUUGAUUUGUAGUUUUUCUAUGUACCAUGACAUUUUGAUUUGUAGGUUUUGUAAACAACCAUCUUGAAAUCGUAGUCUUCUCCAACACUUGAUUUGUAGUUUCUCUAGGUACUAUGCCAUUUGAAUUGUAGUCUUUUCCUAUACUUGAUUUGUAGUUUUUUCUAUGUAACAUGACAUUUUGAUUUGAAGUUUUUGUAAAUGAUCAUCUUGAAUCGUAGUCUGCUCCUACACUUGAUUUUUAGUGUCUCUAGGUGCCAUGUCAUUUUGAAUUGUAGUCUUCUCCUAUACUUGAUUUGUAGCUUUUUCUAUGUACCAACUAUUUUGUGUGUAACCUUCUUUUUGUAAUCUUAUAUGCUAUGAUGUGACUGUGAUUUAUAUUUCCUCAUAGGUUCACUAUCUUUUUACCAGCAUUGUUGCUAUUGGAUGUCGGGGGUGUACAUAGCUGUCAUACAGACCAAUCUCUUGUAGACCUGUUGCAGAACGCUAUAGAAAUGCACACAGUGCCAUCCCAUGACUUGUGCGAUAUAUUACAACAAUUGAUAGAUCAGUAUCCAAAUUUGACCGAAAUUACAUUCAAUAGCGGUCAUCAUGAAAAUACUCAUAUAUUACAACAAUUAGAAUCGGAAAUAGAACAAAGUCCUAACAUUGAUUUGUGCAUGCUGUUGCAGGUCGCUAUAAGUCAAAACGUCACACAGAACGGUGGCACAUUAACAGUUUCCGAUCGCACCACAGCUCACAACAUCAACAACAUAGAUUCGUCAACUAGGUCUAUGACUAAUAACUGCGAUCCGUCCAGGAAUAGCAACGCUGAGCGACCGACGACGUCCUGCGCUGACCGCCCUUCUGACAGAAUAUACCCUUCGACUAGCUCUAUGUCUAAUAACAGUGAUCCGUCCAGUAAUAGCAACGCUGAGCGACCGACGACUUCUAGCGCUGACCGCCAUUCUGACAUAGUAUACCCGUUGACUAGCUCUAUGGCUAAUAACGGUGAUUCUCGGGCUUCAGAUGUAAUAGAAACAAGUCUCAUUUCAUGAUUUGGUGGUACAAAUAUGGUGGUAAUUAGCCUAGGCUAUUUCGUAGUGUCAUUAAAGCGAAUCACUUUUGAUAAUGACAAUCUUGCAAACAAUUUGGCCUUAAAUGGAUAAUCUAUCUAUAAAUGGGUAAGCAUGGUGGUGUCCAAUAAACGAUGGCAACAAUCCAACGUGUCCUUGUAUUGAAUCAAAGAUGGCGCCGGCCGCAGAGCCGUUUAGUCCAUGUCAGUUUUUUUUUUUUUGGCAAAACUUAAGCCCUUUUGACAUUUUGCCUGACGUUGGCUAUAUAUAUACAGACAAAUAAUCGCUUCCCAAGACAACUCAUUAUGGAGCUGCUGGACCUUCUCAGACCUGCGCUUGCCAGGCUAAUGCUGCGAAAUUUUGCUUUAAGCCCUGAAGUCCAGCUGCUUGCAGCGCUAAGGUUUUUUGCUACAGGGAGCUUCAUCGAGGUCGUGGGAGAGGGCUACGGUCAAAGGGCUA
Long non-coding RNA from Carassius gibelio (silver crucian carp), 2562 nucleotides. RefSeq lists it as uncharacterized. The record is from RefSeq and is a predicted model, not a curated record. The transcript has 3 exons. Lineage: Eukaryota; Metazoa; Chordata; Actinopteri; Cypriniformes; Cyprinidae.